Molecule: small nucleolar RNA, 138 nt
Organism: Sorex fumeus (smoky shrew)
Lineage: Eukaryota; Metazoa; Chordata; Mammalia; Eulipotyphla; Soricidae
Product: small nucleolar RNA SNORA70
Exons: 1
Source: RefSeq, a predicted model, not a curated record
GCACAGCCAAUUUAACCUACUGUGUCAUCUGCCCAUUUGGGCUCCAUAUAUAACUUCUGCAGCCGGCAAACAGGCUCCUCUGUAGUGUAUGCAGCCCAUGCGUUGUAUGGGCUAUUCAAAGUGACCUUGGAGACAGUC